AGGGGAUGAAGUGAUGCUGACAAAUGAACAGGAAGAGGAUCAUAUUAGACACAUCCAAACUCAUGAGAUACAUUAUCACACUAUCUUGGGCAUAACAUUCAGAAUGAGCUGUUUUGUCUUCUCUCAUAAGGAGAGAAGAAAGAGAGAAGAGAGGCCGGCCAUUGCAGAGG
This is a long non-coding RNA of Eutrema salsugineum, 170 nucleotides long. RefSeq lists it as uncharacterized. The transcript is spliced from 3 exons. The record is from RefSeq and is a predicted model, not a curated record. NCBI's taxonomy places the organism in Eukaryota, Viridiplantae, Streptophyta, Magnoliopsida, Brassicales, Brassicaceae.